AAUUGGCUCGGCUUCCAUUGUUUCUUCAUGUGUAAAAACCACUACCAAGCAAGCUAAGUAUAAGAGUUUGCUAUUAUUUCAUUUUGUUGGUACAAUAUGAGUUUGUUAUUUUUAAUAUAAUUUGAUCUAAUCUAGUUUAUAAUUUGAUUAAUUAAUGGAAGACGUAAAAAAUUAAUGAAGGCAUCUGUAUGAAAGAAAAAGGCAGAGAAAGAGAGUGUAAAGUGG
RNAcentral lists this long non-coding RNA (225 nucleotides) under Medicago truncatula (barrel medic). Its description in RNAcentral is "long non-coding RNA (MTRU_LNC006415)". The record is from RNAcentral. Lineage: Eukaryota; Viridiplantae; Streptophyta; Magnoliopsida; Fabales; Fabaceae.